UCUUCCGUAGUAUAGUGGUCAGUAUAUGAGCUUGUCACCUUCACAUGGCGAAGACCCCGCUCGGGACCCGGGUUCAAUUCCCGGCGGGAGAG
Non-coding RNA from Lasiosphaeria miniovina, 92 nucleotides. Lineage: Eukaryota; Fungi; Ascomycota; Sordariomycetes; Sordariales; Lasiosphaeriaceae. The record is from the annotation of a RefSeq genome assembly.